AACGCUAGCUACAGGCUUAACACAUGCAAGUCGAGGGGCAGCAUGGUCUUAGCUUGCUAAGGCCGAUGGCGACCGGCGCACGGGUGAGUAACACGUAUCCAACCUGCCGUCUACUCUUGGACAGCCUUCUGAAAGGAAGAUUAAUACAAGAUGGCAUCAUGAGUCCACAUGUUCACAUGAUUAAAGGUAUUCCGGUAGACGAUGGGGAUGCGUUCCAUUAGAUAGUAGGCGGGGUAACGGCCCACCUAGUCUUCGAUGGAUAGGGGUUCUGAGAGGAAGGUCCCCCACAUUGGAACUGAGACACGGUCCAAACUCCUACGGGAGGCAGCAGUGAGGAAUAUUGGUCAAUGGGCGAGAGCCUGAACCAGCCAAGUAGCGUGAAGGAUGACUGCCCUAUGGGUUGUAAACUUCUUUUAUAAAGGAAUAAAGUCGGGUAUGGAUACCCGUUUGCAUGUACUUUAUGAAUAAGGAUCGGCUAACUCCGUGCCAGCAGCCGCGGUAAUACGGAGGAUCCGAGCGUUAUCCGGAUUUAUUGGGUUUAAAGGGAGCGUAGAUGGAUGUUUAAGUCAGUUGUGAAAGUUUGCGGCUCAACCGUAAAAUUGCAGUUGAUACUGGAUAUCUUGAGUGCAGUUGAGGCAGGCGGAAUUCGUGGUGUAGCGGUGAAAUGCUUAGAUAUCACGAAGAACUCCGAUUGCGAAGGCAGCCUGCUAAGCUGCAACUGACAUUGAGGCUCGAAAGUGUGGGUAUCAAACAGGAUUAGAUACCCUGGUAGUCCACACGGUAAACGAUGAAUACUCGCUGUUUGCGAUAUACAGCAAGCGGCCAAGCGAAAGCGUUAAGUAUUCCACCUGGGGAGUACGCCGGCAACGGUGAAACUCAAAGGAAUUGACGGGGGCCCGCACAAGCGGAGGAACAUGUGGUUUAAUUCGAUGAUACGCGAGGAACCUUACCCGGGCUUAAAUUGCAGAUGAAUUACGGUGAAAGCCGUAAGCCGCAAGGCAUCUGUGAAGGUGCUGCAUGGUUGUCGUCAGCUCGUGCCGUGAGGUGUCGGCUUAAGUGCCAUAACGAGCGCAACCCUUGUUGUCAGUUACUAACAGGUUCCGCUGAGGACUCUGACAAGACUGCCAUCGUAAGAUGUGAGGAAGGUGGGGAUGACGUCAAAUCAGCACGGCCCUUACGUCCGGGGCUACACACGUGUUACAAUGGGGGGUACAGAGGGCCGCUACCACGCGAGUGGAUGCCAAUCCCAAAAACCUCUCUCAGUUCGGACUGGAGUCUGCAACCCGACUCCACGAAGCUGGAUUCGCUAGUAAUCGCGCAUCAGCCACGGCGCGGUGAAUACGUUCCCGGGCCUUGUACACACCGCCCGUCAAGCCAUGGGAGCCGGGGGUACCUGAAGUGCGUAACCGCGAGGAGCGCCCUAGGGUAAAACUGGUGACAGG
Molecule: ribosomal RNA, 1442 nt
Filed under: uncultured organism
Description: SSU rRNA
Rfam family: Bacterial small subunit ribosomal RNA
Source: RNAcentral